UGCCCAAGAGAUCGGGAUAACACCUGGAAACAGAUGCUAAUACCGGAUAACAACAGAUGAUGCCUAUCAACUGUUUAAAAGAUGGUUCUGCUAUCACUCUUGGAUGGACCUGCGGUGCAUUAGCUAGUUGGUAGGGUAACGGCCUACCAAGGCGAUGAUGCAUAGCCGAGUUUAGAGACUGAUCGGCCACAUUGGGACUGAGACACGGCCCAAACUCCUACGGGAGGCAGCAGAG
This 235-nucleotide ribosomal RNA is filed under the name uncultured Lactobacillus sp. RNAcentral's name for it is "partial 16S ribosomal RNA". It matches the Rfam family "Bacterial small subunit ribosomal RNA", at positions 127 to 354 of the family's 1533-position model. Lineage: Bacteria; Bacillati; Bacillota; Bacilli; Lactobacillales; Lactobacillaceae. The record is from RNAcentral.